This is a long non-coding RNA of Bombus huntii, 2976 nucleotides long. RefSeq lists it as uncharacterized. The record is from RefSeq and is a predicted model, not a curated record. NCBI's taxonomy places the organism in Eukaryota, Metazoa, Arthropoda, Insecta, Hymenoptera, Apidae. The transcript is spliced from 2 exons.
AUUGAAGGUUGAAUGCUAUUAUUAAAAAUUAAUUACAUUAUUAAGUAUUAAAAAUAGAAAUCAGCGAAAUUUAAAAAUACAAAUUAUAUACUAACAUUAUUAACAAUUAAAUUUUAUGCUUUAAAAUAUUAAAUUACAGUAAUAUUUAUCAUUAAUUCGUCUAUUAUUAUAUUAUAUACAUACAGAACUUACAAAUAUGAUUGAAAAAACGCAAAACUUUGUAUGAACUGAUACUUUAUUAGCUUCGGAGAAGAUAUAGGUUAAUGCAGAUAUGUAUAAAGUUUUAACGAAGAUCUGUUAACAAACUGCAAAGUUUCGUGUUCUGAAACGUUUUUCGACAGAAUAUUUAUAUCUUACGUACCAUUUUUUAAGAUAUAUGUAUGAAGAAGACGCAGAAGCUUGUGAUCAGAUUCGAUGACCGAAUUCAAACUGUUAAAUAAUGGCUGAAAAGCAUUUUGGCGCGAUAUAUCGCCAUCUUUAGUCAAAUCAUGACAUUAAAAUUAAAAAAUUUUUUUAAAUAUUUGGAUUAUGUUUACAUCUUUUCCUGAUCUUUUUCCUUAAAUAACUUCAAAAAUCAGCUUCUAUUCAAAAUCAAAUUCUGUUACUGUGAUACAAUAAAUUUUUGUUAUUAAUCAUAUUUUACGCUUACUAUUAUAAAUGGCAUUUUACUUUAAUUUUUAAAAUUUUUGUUCCAAUUUAAUUUAAUAUAAAUAACAGAAUUUUUAUGAUUAGAUUUAAAUCAUUUUCUAUUUUGAUCUAGUAUGGUGGAUAUCAUGUAUUACUUAUCCUUAUUAUCAAUAUUAUUCUAUCAAGUAACUUUAAAAGAAGGGAAUGAAACAUAACCUAGAAAGUAUUACAUGAAUAUGAGAUAGAAAGUAUAUAUAACAAGCUAUAUCUAUGAUGUUCUCCACUUUCUUAUCUCUGCGUAAGACAUGAUAAAAUGAGGUAUAAAAACAUGAAAUGAAUUGUUAAAAAUUCAUGUAUUGUUAGUGGAAAUAAUUAGAUGAAUGUACAAAUAUCAUAUGUAAUUAGGAAGAUAAUAAAAUGGAACAAAAUGUAAUGAUAAUAAAUACUCAAAAUGGACAAAUAAGAAGAAAAAAAGUGAAACCUUGGUUCAAUGAACAAAAUGUAUACAUAACUCAAGGUCUACCAUUAUCCCAUCUGUUAUCUUAUAACAAAUAUCAAACCAACAUAGGUCUAGAAAAUUUUUUAGAUAAUACAUCUACAAACAUUCAGUGGUGAAAGGAUACAUCUAUUAUGGGUUUAGUUCCAAUACGUGUUUAUCAACAUGAUGCAAUACCUUCAAUGAAUAACUCAUUCAGUAGUAAUAAAUAGCAAUAUUUAUUGUGCAUAUCAUUUUCUUAUGCAAUGACUUUAUGAACUCCUACUUCUGUUACCCUAUUAGAUCUACCACUAAACGUUGAAUUAUUCAACUCAUUACGACAAACAGAAUUAGAUAUAGAGCAGUAUGUACUGUCUAAAGAGGUGAAACAAUCGAGAACUGUAAAAGAAUAUAAGAAAAACUUUAAAACGUACAAAACAUCCUGAGCCAUGGAAAAUGAAUAUAAAAAAAAUGCUAGACUAAGAAGCAAAGAAUAUAUUGGAGUUGGAGGUAAACCAACUCAAUUCUAGAGAGGCUUUAAGCAUAAAGAAAAAUGAAAUUCAUAUCAAAAGCCUGUAAUUCACAGGGAAAAUAGUACCAGCAAAAACCAUGGGACCUUCUUGAAAAUGCUGCAUGUGUUGCGCUGACAAAAUAAACGAAGCUGCUCGGAGUUAUAGCAGAAGUUAUAGUUAAUAACAAUAACAAAGUUGAAGUAACAACAACAGAGUCGAAAUAUACUUAUAUAAUAUAACGGAUGCCUAGUGGAGUUAUGGAACCAGACCAAAGAGGACAAUUUAAAUCAAAAACAAAAAAAUGUGAACAGAAAAAUCAACAGGUACGAUGGAUUAUACAGGAAAGAAGUAUCUAGAUUCUAAGCUAAGUAUAGCUGCUAUGCAUAAACUUUAUGUACUAAAGUGUAAAAGAGAUAGUAUUCCAGAAAGCGACAUAGUUAAAAAAGCUAUUAUAGAGAAAUGUUUAAGUCAGAAUUUAAUCUUGGUUUUAAACAAGUGAAGUUUAAAGUGAACGUUUGACUACCAAAUAUUAUUAACCACUAAAUUAGAAUUAGAAUAAGUAAUUAAUUUCUAUACUUAUACGUACAGAAUCAAAUUUUGAGAUUAUUUUUAAAUAUUCAUAAAUAUUUUAUAUUUUAGGAUUAGUACCGUGCCCUUUUAAUAUUAUUAGUACAAAGAAUGACAUAUCUUAUAUAAAUAUAUUAAAGAAUAUUAAAAACUGUUUAAAAUUUUUAUGUUUAUUCUGGCAUCUCAAUAUUUACAAUAAUAUUUAAUAUGUUAUUUUUAAAAUAUUAUAUAAUAUGAUAUAAUGUUAUAAUUUGUAUUAUAAUAUCAAAAAUUAUAUUUUGUACCAUACUUUCUGUAGUAUUCAUAACACAUGUCACUACGAACUUUCAUUCAAGCAGAAAACGUUUGCAUUCUUAUUUCAUUUAUGCUAAAAGGAUAAGCGUAAAAAUGUUAUUAAAUACAAGACAUAUUUAUAUACACUUUAUACACUUCAAUUACAAAAUAUGCUACUAUGAAAAAAUAACAGAUCUAUUACUUUCAAGCGCUUGGCUUUAAAUAUACAACAAUAAUUUUAACAUUUACCAAUUUAAAAGAAUUAUGUACAAUAUAUACAAAGUAUUUUUCAAAAAUUACGUUACAUAUUUCUUAUAAAACGCGAUGACGAUAAAAGUACAAAUGAAAAUGUACUUACUAGAUGCAAAACGUCAUUACUAUGAUUUACUUUCUUUUCUAUGACAUUAAGGAUUACUAGAAUACUUUCCUUGUUUCUUAGUUUCUUCAUCAACUACAUCUAUUUCUUUACCGUUCAAUCAAUCUAAUUUUUCUCUGAAAGUGAACUAACUUCUUUACAUCUCU